This 971-nucleotide small RNA is filed under the name Arabidopsis thaliana (thale cress). RNAcentral describes it as "ATSL169250". Lineage: Eukaryota; Viridiplantae; Streptophyta; Magnoliopsida; Brassicales; Brassicaceae. The record is from RNAcentral.
AAAAAAAUAAUCUUAAAUCAUUGAAAACUCUUUAAUAAAUCGUAUAAGAAAAUAACAUAGUAGAAAUAAACCUGAGGUUCCCAAAAUACACCAUAAGCAAGACGGACUUGAGCGACUUCACACGAUUCUCACCGCGACCUGGGGAAAAAGGGAAAAGAAAGGGGUGAGUAAAGAAUUACUCAGUGAGAGGAUCCUUUCCGCCCACUGGAAAUACGAUACACGAUUCUACCUUUAAACCACAAUCAACAAUCACAUAGAAAAUAGACACAACACUCUUAUAGUCUCCAUCUCUAUGCAAAACUAUAACAAACAACUCAUUCUUGCUUAAGCAAGAUCUCCACAUCAUUUCCAAGUUCGAUCAUCUCCCUGACCUUUGAACCUAUCUAGUUCCUCUGGACUCGUCAGUCUUUUAUUGAGCUACAACGAAUCCGUCAAUUCAACAAAGGCCCAUUGGUUUAGUAGUAAAAGAAGGUAAUUCUCACCAUCUAGGUUCGAGUAGUAUUAGACACCGGAGUUCAAACAAAUUAAGAUAGUUUUUCCAGAUCACAGAAUUAGGUUUUGGGCGUCUUGAAAACUUUUAGCAUCUUUUGAUCGUCUAGGAGAGCUUUUAUGCAUUAGUUAGUAAAAACCAAUCACCUUGCGUUUUUAUUUUGGAGGCGAUUCAGUUUUAUUUAAAUUAUGUUUUGAGGUGGACCUCUCUUUUUUAAGGCAAACCUUAUCUUUUAAAUUACCAGGUGAACUUCUUCUCUGUUUAUUUGUGAAGUUAUCUUGUCAUUUUAUUUGCGAGGUGGACCUUGGCUUACUUUAUUUCAAGGUUAGCCUAAUAUUUUCAUAUAUUCACCAGGAGGACCAUGUCAUGUCAUGUCUUAUAAUCAAAGUGGAACAAAGUUCGAGUAUUAAAGACACCAUUAUGUACUAACUCUUUUCCUAUAGAAGGCUUAACUAUCAUAUUUUUAUGGGUAUGAGACUUA